This 240-nucleotide unclassified non-coding RNA is filed under the name soil metagenome. RNAcentral describes it as "partial contains 5.8S ribosomal RNA, internal transcribed spacer 2, and large subunit ribosomal RNA". The record is from RNAcentral.
AACAUCGCGCACCUGCGGGAACCUGCGGAAGGAUCAUUAUCGAAUUGUAAGGACUUCAGUUGUCGCUGGCUCCCUCUGGGAGCAUGUGCACGCUGGGUUCAAACUCUUCAUUCUUAACCUCCUGUGCACCUUUUGUGGACUGUGGUCAGAUAACCUGUCGAGGUAACACUCGGUCUUGCAGAUUGCGCCUCACCCGCGCUCACUGCUGCAUCUGACUGCGGUUCAUGUCUUACUACAAAC